GGUUAAGCGACUAAGCGUACACGGUGGAUGCCCUGGCAGUCAGAGGCGAUGAAGGACGUGCUAAUCUGCGAAAAGCGUCGGUAAGGUGAUAUGAACCGUUACAGCCGGCGAUGUCCGAAUGGGGAAACCCAGUGCAAUUCGUUGCACUAUCGUUAACUGAAUACAUAGGUUAACGAGGCGAACCGGGGGAACUGAAACAUCUAAGUACCCCGAGGAAAAGAAAUCAACCGAGAUUCCCCCAGUAGCGGCGAGCGAACGGGGAGCAGCCCAGAGUCUGAAUCAGCUUGUGUGUUAGUGGAACGGUCUGGAAAGUCCGACGGUACAGGGUGAUAGUCCCGUACACCAAAAUGCACAGGUUGUGAACUCGAAGAGUAGGGCGGGACACGUGGUAUCCUGUCUGAAUAUGGGGGGACCAUCCUCCAAGGCUAAAUACUCCUGACUGACCGAUAGUGAACCAGUACCGUGAGGGAAAGGCGAAAAGAACCCCGGCGAGGGGAGUGAAAAAGAACCUGAAACCGUGUACGUACAAGCAGUGGGAGCACCUUCGGGUGUGACUGCGUACCUUUUGUAUAAUGGGUCAGCGACUUAUAUUCUGUAGCAAGGUUAACCGUAUAGGGGAGCCGCAGGGAAACCGAGUCUUAACUGGGCGUUAAGUUGCAGGGUAUAGACCCGAAACCCGGUGAUCUAGCCAUGGGCAGGUUGAAGGUUGGGUAACACUAACUGGAGGACCGAACCGACUAAUGUUGAAAAAUUAGCGGAUGACUUGUGGCUGGGGGUGAAAGGCCAAUCAAACCGGGAGAUAGCUGGUUCUCCCCGAAAGCUAUUUAGGUAGCGCCUCGUGAACUCAUCUUCGGGGGUAGAGCACUGUUUCGGCUAGGGGGUCAUCCCGACUUACCAACCCGAUGCAAACUACGAAUACCGAAGAAUGUUAUCACGGGAGACACACGGCGGGUGCUAACGUCCGUCGUGAAGAGGGAAACAACCCAGACCGCCAGCUAAGGUCCCAAAGUCAUGGUUAAGUGGGAAACGAUGUGGGAAGGCACAGACAGCCAGGAUGUUGGCUUAGAAGCAGCCAUCAUUUAAAGAAAGCGUAAUAGCUCACUGGUCGAGUCGGCCUGCGCGGAAGAUGUAACGGGGCUAAACCAUGCACCGAAGCUGCGGCAGCGACACGAUGUGUUGUUGGGUAGGGGAGCGUUCUGUAAGCCUGCGAAGGUGACCUGUGAGGGUUGCUGGAGGUAUCAGAAGUGCGAAUGCUGACAUAAGUAACGAUAAAGCGGGUGAAAAGCCCGCUCGCCGGAAGACCAAGGGUUCCUGUCCAACGUUAAUCGGGGCAGGGUGAGUCGACCCCUAAGGCGAGGCCGAAAGGCGUAGUCGAUGGGAAACAGGUUAAUAUUCCUGUACUUGGUGUUACUGCGAAGGGGGGACGGAGAAGGCUAUGUUAGCCGGGCGACGGUUGUCCCGGUUUAAGCAUGUAGGCUGGUUAUCCAGGCAAAUCCGGAUAAUCAAGGCUGAGGUGUGAUGACGAGGCACUACGGUGCUGAAGUAACAAAUGCCCUGCUUCCAGGAAAAGCCUCUAAGCAUCAGGUAACAUCAAAUCGUACCCCAAACCGACACAGGUGGUCAGGUAGAGAAUACCAAGGCGCUUGAGAGAACUCGGGUGAAGGAACUAGGCAAAAUGGUGCCGUAACUUCGGGAGAAGGCACGCUGGUGUGUAGGUGAAGUCCCUGCGGAUGGAGCUGAGACCAGUCGAAGAUACCAGCUGGCUGCAACUGUUUAUUAAAAACACAGCACUGUGCAAACACGAAAGUGGACGUAUACGGUGUGACGCCUGCCCGGUGCCGGAAGGUUAAUUGAUGGGGUUAUCCGUAAGGAGAAGCUCUUGAUCGAAGCCCCGGUAAACGGCGGCCGUAACUAUAACGGUCCUAAGGUAGCGAAAUUCCUUGUCGGGUAAGUUCCGACCUGCACGAAUGGCGUAAUGAUGGCCAGGCUGUCUCCACCCGAGACUCAGUGAAAUUGAACUCGCUGUGAAGAUGCAGUGUACCCGCGGCAAGACGGAAAGACCCCGUGAACCUUUACUAUAGCUUGACACUGAACAUUGAGCCUUGAUGUGUAGGAUAGGUGGGAGGCUUUGAAGCGUGGACGCCAGUCUGCGUGGAGCCAACCUUGAAAUACCACCCUUUAAUGUUUGAUGUUCUAACGU
RNAcentral lists this ribosomal RNA (2200 nucleotides) under Klebsiella quasipneumoniae. RNAcentral's name for it is "partial 23S ribosomal RNA". It matches the Rfam family "Bacterial large subunit ribosomal RNA", at positions 1 to 2228 of the family's 2925-position model. The record is from RNAcentral. Lineage: Bacteria; Pseudomonadati; Pseudomonadota; Gammaproteobacteria; Enterobacterales; Enterobacteriaceae.